Molecule: long non-coding RNA, 476 nt
Organism: Electrophorus electricus (electric eel)
Lineage: Eukaryota; Metazoa; Chordata; Actinopteri; Gymnotiformes; Gymnotidae
Source: Ensembl
UCUGAGGUCAGAGCGUUAUGCUGCAAUAAUGAUACCAGUCUGGAUACUUAUAUUUUUGAGCUACAAGACAUGUCCUGUGCAAACUACAAACCUUGCUAAUCAAGCAAACCUGAUGCAACCUGGAGAAAAUAUCACUCUUAACUGCACAUUUAAAGAAAAAUAUGAUGACAAUACGUGCAUGUGGUACAAACAAAGACUGAACCAGGAGCCUCAGCAAGUAGGAAAAGUGCUAAAAAAUAAACAGGCCAUACCUUCAUCUCCAUUCAGCAACUCCACAUUCAGAAUGAUUUGGAAUAACACCACAAACUCUCUGACUAUUCUAAAUCUUACUGAAGAUUAUAAAGGAACGUACUUCUGUGCAGUGACAGACGAAACAAUGAUUCUCUUUUCCUCUGCUACAUUCGUCAAUGUGACAGCACAUGCAGGGUUAAACCUAACAGAGUCUACCAGUAGUGGAAAAGGGUCAGGAACCCCAA